Molecule: unclassified non-coding RNA, 793 nt
Filed under: Acyrthosiphon pisum (pea aphid)
Lineage: Eukaryota; Metazoa; Arthropoda; Insecta; Hemiptera; Aphididae
Description: uncharacterized LOC100572955, transcript variant X3
Source: RNAcentral
ACACUAUAAGCAUGUGACGAAUGUCAAUGUUUUGAUUUAAACUUUAAAGAUACCUUAGUCUGAUUGGUAAAAUAUAAUUAAAUUAAUUUAAAAAUAUAUAUUAUUUAUUAUGACGGCUUGAGACGAAACGAAAGGAGGACACGUCACGUAAAGAAAUUGCGUCCGAAUCGCCAACAAUGGAAGAUGAUAAAGGAGAAGGCCAUAGACGGUUGUUCUUCCAUCGGGACCAUCGAUAGCGAAGUGUUUACGAUUGGGAGGACAUUUUAAGAGACACUCGAGAUGAUGGACUAUGACGGAAGCGAAUAUUCUAUACUGUUCGGUAUCCGUCAGGUACCGUGUGAUGAAUAACUCGAGCAAAAGUUUCUUCAGAUGGAUUAUUUCAGAAAUAUUCUGCUGCUGGAAACAACAGAACGAACUUCCCGAAAACUUGGCCGUGAGCUACACGGAGAUAACGCACUCAAAUACGGCAGACGCGGUGGAACUGCAGCUGCGGAACUACGUGAACUCGCAAGAGCCGUACAAUCCGGAAGUGCACGGCUGGAGAGACAUCACGCCACCCGUUAUGCGAUCCGUCAAGCACAGCGAGCGAGCUACACAGCUGGUGACAGCCAUCCGUAUGUCAGGGCUACAGGACAUCGAAAUACUAGGCGUGCCCGAUGGACACAGCUAACGACGGCGUUUGCCGACACCGUCCCGUACGUCCAGACGCCGUCGUGAAUCUUGUACAUACAACACCGCCGUACCACGAAGUGUAAUAUUGUUUAUUGAUAAUAAAAAAAUCGUUUUAUCUGUU